UACAGAGGGGGGCAAGCGUUGUUCGGAAUUACUGGGCGUAAAGGGCGCGUAGGCGGCCCGCUAAGUCGAACGUGAAAUCCCCGGGCUCAACCCGGGAACUGCGUCCGAUACUGGCAGGCUUGAAUCCGGGAGAGGGAUGCGGAAUUCCAGGUGUAGCGGUGAAAUGCGUAGAUAUCUGGAGGAACACCGGUGGCGAAGGCGGGUCUCUGGGCCGAUACUGACGCUGAGGAGCGAAAGCGUGGGGAGCGAACAGG
RNAcentral lists this ribosomal RNA (254 nucleotides) under uncultured bacterium. RNAcentral's name for it is "partial 16S ribosomal RNA". It matches the Rfam family "Bacterial small subunit ribosomal RNA", at positions 524 to 776 of the family's 1533-position model. The record is from RNAcentral.